GACGCUGGCGGUAUGCCUAACACAUGCAAGUCGUACGAGUAGUUUUUAACUCUAGUGGCGGACGGGUGAGUAACACGUGAGUAAUUUGCCUUUAGGAGGGGGAUAACAAUUGGAAACGAAUGCUAAUACCCCAUAUGCUUUUGAGUGAAAUGGAUUUUAUCCGCCUAGAGAGAAGCUCGCGGCUGAUUAGCUUGUUGGUAAGGUAAGAGCUUACCAAGGCGACGAUCAGUAUCUGGUUUGAGAGGACGAUCAGACACACUGGAACUGAGACACGGUCCAGACUCCUACGGGAGGCAGCAGUGGGGAAUUUUCCGCAAUGGGCGAAAGCCUGACGGAGCAAUACCGCGUGAGGGAAGAAUGCCUAUGGGUUGUAAACCUCUUUUUUCAGGGAGGAACAAAAUGACGUGUACCUGAAGAAUAAGCAUCGGCUAACUCCGUG
Molecule: ribosomal RNA, 439 nt
Filed under: uncultured bacterium
Lineage: Bacteria
Description: bacterial SSU rRNA
Rfam family: Bacterial small subunit ribosomal RNA
Source: RNAcentral